AGAUGCUUAUGUUUUCACUCAUGCAGCACUGCUGGAGGUCUGAACCAACAAAAAUCGCGAAGCAGAUGCAAUAAAAUGUUUUUCUGUAGAAGGUUUUGAUGAAACCUGUCUAGCUAAAGAUACAUUAUUACAAUUUAAACGACAAUUUUCCAAUUUAUUGCGAAGGUAAACAAGUACUGAGCGAAAUGCAAUCGCGAUUCCAAACAAAUAACUUUUAACCAAAAAAUCAUUCAAUCAGUCAA
This 242-nucleotide long non-coding RNA is filed under the name Drosophila guanche. The record is from RNAcentral. Lineage: Eukaryota; Metazoa; Arthropoda; Insecta; Diptera; Drosophilidae.